CAAAUUAUUUAGAAAGAUUUUUUUAUUUACAAUAAAUUAAAUAGUUGUUUAAUUCAACUUAAUUUGA
Molecule: transfer RNA, 67 nt
Filed under: Neodiprion lecontei (redheaded pine sawfly)
Lineage: Eukaryota; Metazoa; Arthropoda; Insecta; Hymenoptera; Diprionidae
Description: tRNA-Val
Source: RNAcentral